RNAcentral lists this transfer RNA (69 nucleotides) under Aphanius asquamatus. RNAcentral's name for it is "tRNA-Ala". It matches the Rfam family "tRNA". From Rfam's summary of the family: Transfer RNA (tRNA) molecules are approximately 80 nucleotides in length. Their secondary structure includes four short double-helical elements and three loops (D, anti-codon, and T loops). Lineage: Eukaryota; Metazoa; Chordata; Actinopteri; Cyprinodontiformes; Aphaniidae. The record is from RNAcentral.
AAGGCUUUAGCUUAAUUAAAGUGUCUGCUUUGCAUGCAGAAGAUGUGGGAUAAUGACCCGUAAGUCUUA